This 2607-nucleotide ribosomal RNA is filed under the name Triticum aestivum (bread wheat). Its description in RNAcentral is "partial small subunit ribosomal RNA". The record is from RNAcentral. Lineage: Eukaryota; Viridiplantae; Streptophyta; Magnoliopsida; Poales; Poaceae.
AUGGCGGCGCCUGCUGCUCUUGACGUUAGCCUCGAGAGGGUAGCUACGGCACCGGCCGUUCCACCACCCGGCAUCGGCGUCGACAGUGCCACCGCGGAGGCGGAGUUCCUCUGGGAGCUGCGCAAGUACGUGCUGCUCCUCGCCACGCUCGCGGCCUCCGUCACCUACUCCGCGGGGCUGAGUCCGCCAGGCGGGUUCUGGCCCGACAACGACGCCGACAGAGGCGCGCGUCUCGCCGGCGACCCGGUGCUCCUCGUCACCUACCCGCGCCGAUACAAGGCCUUCUUCUACUGCAACGCCACCGCCUUCGUCGCCUCCCUCGUCAUCGUCAACCUCCUGCUCGUCCGCUCGCUCGGCCACCGCCGGCGGUGGCUGCGCGCGCUCCAGGCCGCCAUGCUGCUCGACCAGUUCGGUCUCAUGGGGGCCUACGCCGCGGGCAGCUGCAGGGACGCGGCCAUGUCCGCCUACGUCUUCGUUCUCGUCGCCUUGGUUGCCUGCUACGUCUCCGCCCACGUCCUCGUCUUCGUGCUCUUCGCCCCGACAGCGCGCGGCGACAAGGUCACGCCGGCCGACAGAGUGGAGCGCGCGCGCAAGUACCUGCUCAUCUUCGCGACGCUGGCGGCGACCAUCACGUACCAGGCCGGUGUCAGCACGCCGGGCGGGUUCUGGCCGGGCAGCCAGGACAGCGACCACCUGGCCGGCGACCCCAUGCUCCGCGUCCAGCACCCGUCCCGCUUCAUGGUCUUCUUCUACUCCAACACCACCGCGUUCGUCGCGUCGCUGGUCGUCGUCAUGCUGCUCAUGAGCAACACCGUGACGCAGCACGGGUUCCGGUCAUGCGCACUCUGGGUGUGCACGGGCGCGGCCAUGGUGGGGCUCAUGGGCGCCUUCGCCUCCGGGAGCUGCCGGAGCCUCAAGACCUCCAUGUACCUCAACAAAUUUGAGAGAUUGGACUUGGAGCAGCAAAAUCAGCAGCAAAGCAGAGCAUCCGAGCACGGCAAUGACGACGCGUACCAGAUUCUGAGGAAGUCGCGGAUGUAUCUGCUGCUCCUCGGGAUUCUUGCGGCGAGCGUGACAUACCAAGCCGGACUGAACCCACCGGGCGGCUUCUGGCAAGGCGAUGCAGCCGCCGACAGUCGCCACCACUACCUCGCCGGCGACCCGAUCCUCCACAUCACGUAUCCCCGGCGAUACCUGGCCUUCUUCUACUGCAACGCCACCGCCUUCGUCGCGUCGCUCGUCAUCCUCAUACUCCUGCUGAGCAACAUACUCAGCACCCAGGGGAUCAAGUACUGCGCGUUGCAGGUCGCCAUGAUCCUGGACCUGUUUGGCCUGAUCGGCGCCUACGCCGCCGGGAGCUGCCGGCAAGUGUCCAAAUCCGUGUACGUCUCGCUGCUCGUCGUUCCUGUGUUCCUCUACGUCGGCAUCCAUGUCGUGGUCUUCAUGUUAGAAGUGUGGCCGGCUCGCCCGGCAUGGAUCCAAGCGUUGAGUGAGAAGAUGGAGCAGUGCGCCCCCAGCUGGCUCAAGGAGCUGUUCGAGCACCCCGAGCAGGGGGAGGAGGAGGCGGCGGACGUCGAACGGACACUGGAGAAGAGGCGGAAGCUUCUGCUGCUUCUUGCGAUCCUUGCGGCGAGCCUCACCUACCAAGCCGGCAUGGGCCCGCCGGGCGGCUUCUGGCAAGAGAGCAAGCUCGGCCAUGUCGCCGGCGACCCGGUGCUCAACGACAACUACCCGCGCCGCUACGUGGCCUUCUUCUACUGCAACGCGACGGCCUUCGUCGCGUCCCUUGCCGUCAUCAUGCUGCUGGUGAACAGGAAGCUCUCGGCGAGAGGGAUACGGUCUCACGCACUGCGGGUGUGCGUGAUCCUCGACCUCGUCGGCCUCAUGGGCGCCUUCGCCGCCGGGAGCUGCCGGAAGGUGUCGACCUCGAUCUACGUCCUCGUUCUGACAUUCGCAGUUCUGCUCUGCAUCGCUCUCCAGGUCACGCUGGUCUUGUCGGAGACGGCGCAAGGUCUUGCCAAGAGGCUCCUGUCAAAGCUCGGCGCGGGCGAAGACCAAGCCGGAGGCGACGGGCGGCAUGGCACGGGCGUCGCCGCCGGAGGGGCGCGUGAUCUCUGGGACGAGAAGCUGCCCAAAUACCUGCUGCUGCUCGCCGCGCUCGCCGCCGCCGUCACGUACCAGGCCGCGAUGAGCCCGCCGGGCGGCCUCUGGGGCGACACCACCGGCCACACCGCCGGCGAUCCGGUUCUCACGAGCAACUACCCGCGCCGGUACAAGGCCUUCUUCUACUGCAACGCCACGUCCUUCAUGGCGUCCCUGGUGAUCAUGGUCCUCCUGCUGAUCAAGAGGGUGAGCGACACCCCGCCGGCGCUCUUGGCGCUGCACGCCGCCAUGAUCCUGGACCUGUUUGGCCUCAUGGGUGCGUACGCCGCUGGGAGCUGCAGGAGGGUGAGGACGUCGGCCUACAUCCUGGCGCUGGUCGUCGGGGUCUCGGCGUACAUUGCUGUGCUCGUCGUGGCAUCCAUCGGCAUAGCGGGGCGACUGAGAAGCGCAAUGGACUGGCUGACGGAGCAAGUGACGCGGUGCUUCUCCGUGCAUGAUAUGUAG